CUCGUAGGCGGUUCGUCGCGUCCGGUGUGAAAGGCUACGGCUCAACCGUAGUAAGCUCUUGAAACUGGGAAACUUGAGUGCAGGAGAGGAAAGUGGAAUUCCUAGUGUAGCGGUGAAAUGCGUAGAUAUUAGGAGGAACACCAGUAGCGAAGGCGGCUUUCUGGACUGUAACUGACACUGAGGCACGAAAGCGUGGGGAGGCAAAACA
RNAcentral lists this ribosomal RNA (208 nucleotides) under uncultured bacterium. Its description in RNAcentral is "partial 16S ribosomal RNA". It matches the Rfam family "Bacterial small subunit ribosomal RNA", at positions 568 to 776 of the family's 1533-position model. The record is from RNAcentral.